CGGACGGGUGAGUAAUGCUUGGGAAUCUAGCUUAUGGAGGGGGAUAACUACGGGAAACUGUAGCUAAUACCGCGUAGUAUCGGAAGAUGAAAGUGUGGGACCUUCGGGCCACAUGCCAUAGGAUGAGCCCAAGUGGGAUUAGGUAGUUGGUUAGGUAAAGGCUGACCAAGCCGACGAUCUCUAGCUGGUCUGAGAGGAUGACCAGCCACACUGGAACUGAGACACGGUCCAG
Molecule: ribosomal RNA, 232 nt
Filed under: uncultured bacterium
Lineage: Bacteria
Description: partial 16S ribosomal RNA
Rfam family: Bacterial small subunit ribosomal RNA
Source: RNAcentral